GCCGGGGUGGUGAAAUUGGUAGACGCGCUAGACUCAAAAUCUAGUGGGGGAAACCCCGUGUCGGUUCGAUUCCGACUCUCGGCA
Molecule: transfer RNA, 84 nt
Filed under: Helicobacter apodemus
Lineage: Bacteria; Pseudomonadati; Campylobacterota; Epsilonproteobacteria; Campylobacterales; Helicobacteraceae
Rfam family: tRNA
About the family: Transfer RNA (tRNA) molecules are approximately 80 nucleotides in length. Their secondary structure includes four short double-helical elements and three loops (D, anti-codon, and T loops).
Source: Rfam by way of RNAcentral